AUAGAGCAGCAAACCUAGAGUUAAAAUUUGAUGUGAAUAAGUAGAUAAUCCAUAUGCUUAUGCUGGAAUUCCCAAGUAACUUUUAAAAUGUAAAAUAGGUGCCCUUUAGUUUAAUGUGCAAAGGUUAGGGAGUUCCACUCACUCAUUUAUUCAUUCAGCAUAUUUAUUAUGUCUCUAUGCUAUGCCAGGAACUCCUAGGAACUGAAGGAACAAAAGUAAAUUCUUGGCUUAAAGUUGCUCACAAUUUAGCAGGAAGAGACAUGUUUAAAAAAAAAAUUUCUAGACCCAAGGUGAUGAGUAAACAAAGCUACUCUUGUGCUGGGAGUAAAAAGAAGAGCACUGAUGGGCAGGUGGGCGAGGGAUGCAGAAGCCUUUCCAAAAGAAGUAAGUUUUGAACUAUAUUGAAACAUGACAAGAAUUCACCAGUCUAACAAAAUGGGAAACGUAUUCAAGGCACAGGAAGCAACAAGUGCAAGACCCAGGAGGAGGCACCCAGACCCUUGGGUACAUAUUCUCAGCUUCUAAGGACCUCCUUCCUAAAGAAGAAAGAGUUGAUUGAAGAUUUGAUAAGCAUGCAUGUGCGUAGGAGUGGGUCUAGUGUCAUUGGAAAAGUGAACCUGGAAAUAAAGAGAAAAUAAAUUGAACUCGG
RNAcentral lists this long non-coding RNA (649 nucleotides) under Pan troglodytes (chimpanzee). RNAcentral's name for it is "long non-coding RNA NONPTRT010880". Lineage: Eukaryota; Metazoa; Chordata; Mammalia; Primates; Hominidae. The record is from RNAcentral.